CCCAGUCGCUAGGGGUGCCCCUCGAGAGGGGCUGAGACGGCCGCGCGGCGCGGCCAACCCUUGGAACCUGAACCGGGUCAUACCGGCGGAGGGAAGCGGCAUGGAGCCCAC
RNAcentral lists this non-coding RNA (111 nucleotides) under Myxococcus stipitatus. Its description in RNAcentral is "TPP sequence". It matches the Rfam family "TPP riboswitch aptamer (THI element)". From Rfam's summary of the family: Vitamin B(1) in its active form thiamin pyrophosphate (TPP) is an essential coenzyme that is synthesised by coupling of pyrimidine and thiazole moieties in bacteria. The previously detected thiamin-regulatory element, thi box was extended, resulting in a new, highly conserved RNA secondary structure, the THI element, which is widely distributed in eubacteria and also occurs in some archaea. Analysis of operon structures identified a large number of new candidate thiamin-regulated genes, mostly transporters, in various prokaryotic organisms. Lineage: Bacteria; Pseudomonadati; Myxococcota; Myxococcia; Myxococcales; Myxococcaceae. The record is from RNAcentral.